UAAGUUAAGAGUUUAAGGCCCCGGCUUAACUGGGUGCACGCUCUUAAUACUGCUUUUCUUGAGUAUGGGAGAGGGUGAUGGAAUUCCAGGUGUAGCGGUGGAAUGCGUAGAUAUCUGGAAGAACACCAGUAGCGAAGGCGGUCACCUGGCCCAAUACUGACGCUGAGGCUCGAAAGUCGGGGGAGCGAACAGGAUUAGAUACCCUGGUAGUCCCGACCGUAAACGAUGGAUACUAGUUGCUGGGAGAGUCAAUCCUUUCAGUGACGAAGCCAACGCAUUAAGUAUCCCGCCUGGGGAGUACGCUCGCAAGGGUGAAACUCAAAGGAAUUGACGGGGGCCCGCACAAGCGGUGGAGCAUGUGCUUUAAUUCGAUGCAACGCGAAGAACCUUACCUGGGUUUGACAUGGGGAUGAAACUCUUCAGAGAUGAGGAGCCUUUCUUCGGAAACACCCUGCACAGGUGCUGCAUGGUUGUCGUCAGCUCGUGUCGUGAGAUGUUGGGUUAAGUCCCGCAACGAGCGCAACCCCUGCCCUUAGUUGCCAGCGAGUAAUGUCGGGAACUCUAAGGGGACCGCCUGGACCAACCAGGAGGAAGGUGGGGAUGACGUCAAAUCAUCAUGGCCCUUACGCCCAGGGCUAGACACGUGCUACAAUGGCCGGCACAGAGGGCUGCGAAACGGCGACGUGGAGCUAAUCCCUUAAAACCGGUCUCAGUUCGGAUUGGAGUCUGCAAUUCGACUCCAUGAAGGUGGAAUCGCUAGUAAUCGCGGAUCAGCAUGCCGCGGUGAUACGUUCCCGGGCAUUGUACACACCGCCCGUCAAGCCACGAAAGAUGGCAGUGCCCGAAGUCGCUUUCCCAACCGCAAGGAGGGAGGCGCCGAAGG
RNAcentral lists this ribosomal RNA (883 nucleotides) under uncultured organism. RNAcentral describes it as "bacterial SSU rRNA". It matches the Rfam family "Bacterial small subunit ribosomal RNA", at positions 584 to 1462 of the family's 1533-position model. The record is from RNAcentral.